CUUGACAUCCAGAGAAUUUAGCAGAGAUACUUUAGUGCCUUCGGGAACUCUGAGACAGGUGCUGCAUGGCUGUCGUCAGCUCGUGUUGUGAAAUGUUGGGUUAAGUCCCGNAACGAGCGCAACCCUUUAUCCUUUGUUGCCAGCACGUAAUGGUGGGAACUCAAAGGAGACUGCCGGUGAUAAACCGGAGGAAGGUGGGGAUGACGUCAAGUCAUCAUGGCCCUUACGAGUAGGGCUACACACGUGCUACAAUGGCGCAUACAAAGAGAAGCGACCUCGCGAGAGCAAGCGGACCUCAUAAAGUGCGUCGUAGUCCGGAUUGGAGUCUGCAACUCGACUCCAUGAAGUCGGAAUCGCUAGUAAUCGUAAAUCAGAAUGUUACGGUGAAUACGUUCCCGGGCCUUGUACACACCGCCCGUCACACCAUGGGAGUGGGUUGCAAAAGAAGUAGAUAGCUUAACCUUCGGGAGGGCGUUUACCACUUUGUGAUUCAUGACUGGGGUGAAGUCGUAACAAGGUAAGCGUAGUGCU
Molecule: ribosomal RNA, 531 nt
Filed under: uncultured bacterium
Lineage: Bacteria
Description: bacterial SSU rRNA
Rfam family: Bacterial small subunit ribosomal RNA
Source: RNAcentral